Xenopus tropicalis (tropical clawed frog) is the source of this 224-nucleotide small nucleolar RNA. The record is from Ensembl. Lineage: Eukaryota; Metazoa; Chordata; Amphibia; Anura; Pipidae.
UACAUGCUGCCCUAGACCUACCUUUGUGAAUAUCGGUUUCUGCUAAUUUUACAUUGUAUGCCUUCAACGGUUCCAGCUUAGACAUUUAGAAACUUUCUGGUUGCACAGUGAAAGGUGAUUGGGUCAUGUGAGACUAAUAUACUUGUAUUAUAACCCUCUGUUUCUGAUACCACUAGCUGCAGGGUUCACUCAUUCCAUCAGGACACUACUUAUUUGCUCAUGCU